GAGUUGAUCAUGGCUCAGGACGAACGCUGGCGGCGUGCUUAACACAUGCAAGUCGAACGGAAGGCCCUGCUUGCAGGGUACUCGAGUGGCGAACGGGUGAGUAACACGUGGGUGAUCUGCCCUGCACUUCGGGAUAAGCUUGGGAAACUGGGUCUAAUACCGGAUAGGAGCCAUCUUUAGUGUGGUGGUUGGAAAGUUUUUC
RNAcentral lists this ribosomal RNA (202 nucleotides) under uncultured microorganism. RNAcentral describes it as "partial 16S ribosomal RNA". It matches the Rfam family "Bacterial small subunit ribosomal RNA", at positions 9 to 212 of the family's 1533-position model. The record is from RNAcentral.